This 373-nucleotide ribosomal RNA is filed under the name uncultured organism. RNAcentral describes it as "bacterial SSU rRNA". It matches the Rfam family "Bacterial small subunit ribosomal RNA", at positions 526 to 896 of the family's 1533-position model. The record is from RNAcentral.
CGAAGGGUGCAAGCGUUACUCGGAAUUACUGGGCGUAAAGCGUGCGUAGGUGGUUCGUUAAGUCUGAUGUGAAAGCCCUGGGCUCAACCUGGGAAUGGCAUUGGAUACUGGCGAUCUAGAGUGCGGUAGAGGGCAGUGGAAUUCCCGGUGUAGCAGUGAAAUGCGUAGAGAUCGGGAGGAACAUCUGUGGCGAAGGCGACUGCCUGGACCAGCACUGACACUGAGGCACGAAAGCGUGGGGAGCAAACAGGAUUAGAUACCCUGGUAGUCCACGCCCUAAACGAUGCGAACUGGAUGUUGGGUGCAACUAGGCAACUCAGUAUCGAAGCUAACGCGUUAAGUUCGCCGCCUGGGGAGUACGGUCGCAAGACUG